Molecule: ribosomal RNA, 434 nt
Filed under: uncultured bacterium
Lineage: Bacteria
Description: bacterial SSU rRNA
Rfam family: Bacterial small subunit ribosomal RNA
Source: RNAcentral
UGAGGAAUAUUGGUCAAUGGGCGGGAGUCUGAACCAGCCAAGCCGCGUGAGGGAAGAAGGCCCUAUGGGUCGUAAACCUCUUUUGUCAGGGAACAAAAGCGAGUAUGUAUACUGGUCUGAGUGUACCUGAAGAAAAAGCAUCGGCUAACUCCGUGCCAGCAGCCGCGGUAAUACGGAGGAUGCGAGCGUUAUCCGGAUUUAUUGGGUUUAAAGGGUGCGUAGGCGGCGGUGCAAGUCAGCGGUAAAAGCCCGGGGCUCAACCCCGGCGAGCCGUUGAAACUGCAGUGCUAGAGAAGGCGAGAGGUACGCGGAAUGCGCAGUGUAGCGGUGAAAUGCUUAGAUAUUGCGCAGAACUCCGAUUGCGAAGGCAGCGUACUGGCGCCUGACUGACGCUGAGGCACGAAAGCGUGGGGAUCGAACAGGAUUAGAUACCC